This 1498-nucleotide long non-coding RNA is filed under the name Zonotrichia albicollis (white-throated sparrow). RNAcentral describes it as "lncRNA (ENSZALG00000014464.1)". The record is from RNAcentral. Lineage: Eukaryota; Metazoa; Chordata; Aves; Passeriformes; Passerellidae.
GCGCAGAGGGUAGUGAGGGAAGGAGUGAGUACAGACACGCAAGGGAAAGAAGCACUGCUGAGAUGGGCCCAGCUUCAGAGCCAUAAAGGAGCUCUGUUCUGUAAGGACAAGGGCCAGAGCAAGAAUUGGAGCAUCAUGGAGCAGCAGUUUGGAAAGGACAUCAAAGGAGGAAAGGUCACCCCAGCUGCAGAUGCAGCCGAGCAGUCCGCGUGCUCCUGGGGUUUGCCCUGCCACAGACAGCGAGGUUCACAUUUCUGGGUGCUGAGCGUCAUGAGCAGGCUCACGCUGGGAAAUUGCACAGAGCAAUCCAUAUCCUCCAGGAGCCUCAGCAGAGCUCUUCCAGCAGCUCCAGUGGCAGCGCCAGCAAUGAUCCUGUGUGUGAAUGGGGAGUUUGGUCUUGCCGGGAAGCAGGAACCACCAUGGGAAUUACAAGGAGGGGCAGCAUAUCUCAACAGGAAAGUCAUCCAGGAAGUCUCAUUUCCAAGAACCAGCUGGUAAACAGUUUAGAGCACCCUGUUCACAUCUGUAACACUCAGCAAUUAAUGAGGCACUCAUGUACCUAUAAAAUAACCAAUUCAGUCCCGCUUAUUUAUAUCACUGGUUGAGCACUUUGUCACUGGUUUUGAAGAGGGAAAACUGGACUGAGCCCCAGAUACAAAACUGGGAAGUGCUGGCACUGUAAAGUGGCCUAUCUCCCCUUUUUAACAAGCAGUGGUUAUGGUUUUAAUUUAAUGUCAAAGGUGUUGGGAGUGGCCUUUAACAGGUAAUUAAUAGCCUGAAAUACCCUAAUCUUUAGGACUGUUCAGGAUUAUACUGUAAAGCUAGUCUAGAACUACCAAAAUAUUUGUCAGACAAGCAAUUCAGAACCUCAGAAACCUUCCCCAGCAGCUCUCCCGGGCACAGAGGUGAGCGCAGCUCCCACCCAAAGCACAGACCUGCACUGGGAAACCCUGAUCAGACUUGACUUCAUUUCAGACAGAAAUGAAGUUUGCUUUUCCUCGCUGACCCGAAACUCUCGCAGUGUAGCGACAGGCAACCUUCGGCGGGGUCCACGUAAGAAGAAUACAGCUGCUCUUUUCUAACGGGAGGAAGAAGGAGGCUUUUAUGGCUGUCCCUGAAGAGAGCCCUCUCACAAUGCUUCGCAGUGUCUAAACAGACCUACGUGCUCUGAUCCCACUUGGCAAUAAUGAAGGACUUGUAUUCCUCCGGCUCCGGGGACCAGCUCGCCCGCCGGGCUGCAGAUGCCGGCUCCGGUUACAGCGACGGCGCGUUACAAACCUGUGACAUUUAAGCGAGGAUGAAAAUUAAAAUUGUCUUUAGCCAUUGUCCGUAUAUUUACCCUUUGCUUUGCUCUGUUUCUAUGGCAAUGAACAUAAAAGGAUCACAUGCGUUCCUCUCGGAGGGGGCGGGCGGGGGAGGGACGAGCUCCGUUCUGCGGGCAACCGCGCCCCGCCGUGGCUCCGCACAGAGCGCGGCCCCGCACACUGCGCACAGCACC